Molecule: non-coding RNA, 267 nt
Organism: Gorilla gorilla gorilla (western lowland gorilla)
Lineage: Eukaryota; Metazoa; Chordata; Mammalia; Primates; Hominidae
Source: Rfam
GCCGGGUGUGGUGGUGGGCGCCUGUAGUCCCAGCUACUCGGGAGGCUGAGGCAGGAGAAUGGUGCGAACCCAGGAGGCAGAGCUUGCAGUAAGCUGAGAUUGCGCCACUGCAUUCCAGCCUGGGUGACAGAGCGAGACUCUGUCACAAUUUAAAAAAAAAAAAAGAAAAGAUGGAGUCUUAUCUGUUACCCAGGCUGGAGUGCAAUGGCGUGAUCUCGGCUCACCGCAACCUCCGCCUCCUAGAUUCAAGUGAUUCUCCUGCCUCAG